GGCCUCGUAGCUCAGUUGGCUAGAGCGUUGGUUGUACCACAGCCUUCUCAUUUAUGGCUUGGUUCGAAUCCCACCGAGGCCA
Molecule: transfer RNA, 82 nt
Filed under: Schistocephalus solidus
Lineage: Eukaryota; Metazoa; Platyhelminthes; Cestoda; Diphyllobothriidea; Diphyllobothriidae
Rfam family: tRNA
About the family: Transfer RNA (tRNA) molecules are approximately 80 nucleotides in length. Their secondary structure includes four short double-helical elements and three loops (D, anti-codon, and T loops).
Source: Rfam by way of RNAcentral